GUGCUUGUAGCUCAAUGGUAGAGUGUUGGCUUACAGAGCCAAAGGUUGUAGGUUCAAGUCCUACCAAGCAUG
Molecule: transfer RNA, 72 nt
Filed under: Lactococcus allomyrinae
Lineage: Bacteria; Bacillati; Bacillota; Bacilli; Lactobacillales; Streptococcaceae
Rfam family: tRNA
About the family: Transfer RNA (tRNA) molecules are approximately 80 nucleotides in length. Their secondary structure includes four short double-helical elements and three loops (D, anti-codon, and T loops).
Source: Rfam by way of RNAcentral